RNAcentral lists this transfer RNA (72 nucleotides) under Dipodomys ordii (Ord's kangaroo rat). It matches the Rfam family "tRNA". From Rfam's summary of the family: Transfer RNA (tRNA) molecules are approximately 80 nucleotides in length. Their secondary structure includes four short double-helical elements and three loops (D, anti-codon, and T loops). Further hydrogen bonds mediate the characteristic L-shaped molecular structure. tRNAs have two regions of fundamental functional importance: the anti-codon, which is responsible for specific mRNA codon recognition, and the 3' end, to which the tRNAs corresponding amino acid is attached (by aminoacyl-tRNA synthetases). tRNAs cope with the degeneracy of the genetic code in two manners: having more than one tRNA (with a specific anti-codon) for a particular amino acid; and 'wobble' base-pairing, i.e. permitting non-standard base-pairing at the 3rd anti-codon position. The record is from Rfam by way of RNAcentral. Lineage: Eukaryota; Metazoa; Chordata; Mammalia; Rodentia; Heteromyidae.
GGAGGUAUGGCUCAACAAUAGAGUGUUUGCCUAGCAAAUAGGAAACCCUGAGUUCAAACCCCAGUACUUCCA